AUUGAACGCUGGCGGCAGGCCUAACACAUGCAAGUCGAACGGUAACAGGAAACAGCUUGCUGUUUCGCUGACGAGUGGCGGACGGGUGAGUAAUGUCUGGGAAACUGCCUGAUGGAGGGGGACAACUACUGGAAACGGUAGCUAAUACCGCAUAACGUCGCAAGACCAAAGAGGGGGACCUUCGGGCCUCUUGCCAUCGGAUGUGCCCAGAUGGGAUUAGCUAGUAGGUGGGGUAACGGCUCACCUAGGCGACGAUCCCUAGCUGGUCUGAGAGGAUGACCAGCCACACUGGAACUGAGACACGGUCCAGACUCCUACGGGAGGCAGCAGUGGGGAAUAUUGCACAAUGGGCGCAAGCCUGAUGCAGCCAUGCCGCGUGUAUGAAGAAGGCCUUCGGGUUGUAAAGUACUUUCAGCGGGGAGGAAGGGAGUAAAGUUAAUACCUUUACUCAUUGACGUUACCCGCAGAAGAAGCACCGGCUAACUCCGUG
RNAcentral lists this ribosomal RNA (490 nucleotides) under uncultured bacterium. RNAcentral describes it as "partial 16S ribosomal RNA". It matches the Rfam family "Bacterial small subunit ribosomal RNA", at positions 30 to 507 of the family's 1533-position model. The record is from RNAcentral.